GAGACCGUGCACAGCUCGGUGCAAGGACCAAGGGCAUUGCACGAGUGACAGGGACAUGAGCACAGCUCGGUGCGUGGUCCCAGGACGUUGCAGCAGGGCUGUGCCCAGCUCGCUGCCCACCCCAGGGGCCAUCUCUCACCUGCACCUCGCAGGCUGCCUGCAGGUGGAAGAUGCUGUAGAAAGCCUCCUCGGCGGUGUCGCCCAGCGCCAGCACCCCGUGGUUGCGCAGCACCAGGAUCUGCAGCACCGGGCACAGGGGAUCAGCGGGGUGGCAGGGGUCGGGGAAGGGGUCC
Molecule: long non-coding RNA, 293 nt
Organism: Oxyura jamaicensis (ruddy duck)
Lineage: Eukaryota; Metazoa; Chordata; Aves; Anseriformes; Anatidae
Exons: 2
Source: RefSeq, a predicted model, not a curated record